UGAACACCAGCGCCGUCUGGCUCGGUAAUAAAUAUGUAUAAAGGAGCGGUUGGUAGAAAAAACAGGAGGCAAUCUGAGGUUUUUGAAGCUUUUGCCAUGUUUAACAACAACAUCGUAACAAUGCAGGGACGUGGCUGGACUGUCGGAACAUCUAGGCAGAACCACGCCCCGGAAAGGAAGAGUGGAUUUGACGCCUGUUGUGUGCGACUGAUCGACGCUUCCUUCACGUGUCACGUGAUGACAACUGAACAAACUCCUUUCACUGAUGAAGAUGCUAAAAAGCUAGAAACCGGACCUUGAGUUGAGAUACUUUGGUCACACAAGUUUUAUGUAUUUAUUCAGAUUCCUGUAUGUACAGAUCACUGACAACCUUCUGUAUAUACAGUCAGUAAUCAGUCAUUUUCCUGUCAAGCAAGAUUAAAAGUAGGUUUUAGCCUCA
Molecule: long non-coding RNA, 439 nt
Organism: Micropterus dolomieu (smallmouth bass)
Lineage: Eukaryota; Metazoa; Chordata; Actinopteri; Centrarchiformes; Centrarchidae
Exons: 2
Source: RefSeq, a predicted model, not a curated record